UUAUGUAAUAGAGAGAGUACAAUCAGUAUAUAUAGCUAAUCUAAUUGUACUACACUACUCAAGUUCUACUACACUGAUGGAAAGUACAAUACAAAAUGAACUAUAGAGAUUACUUGCUCUGCAAGUUAUUGUCCUUAGUGUUAUUUCUAUCAUCUAUUUGUGUAGUGUGUGAUACUUAGCAUGUUUCAAAACGACAUAUGACUAAUUCACCGAUCUUGUUUGGAGUUUGUUAUGCGUAAUGAGAAUGUCUUAUCAGUGACCCCUUGGAAAGUAAAGCUUUGGAUUUAGACACUCAGAAUUUCAUUGUUGUUAGAUAUGAAUCUGUUUUAUGAUAUGCCAUUUGACAAAUCAAAUCCUACUUCUCAUGUUUCUGUGCGGUUUUAGCUUUGGACUGUGUUUUUCUCACGCUUGAUGUUUGAUGUUUGUAUGUAUAGACCUCUAGACAUGCUCUCUGAUUGUUUGUUUUAUCUGUCUCAGGUCACAAGGCCAGUGCUGUUUCCAUGUUCCGGGGUACUGCAUAAAGAGAAGCUUGUUUAAUUGCAAUCAUCACAGAUGUCGUGGUUUAACCAGAACUACUAUUGUAAUACACCUCUCAAUCAGGAGAAAUGAGAUUGUUCAAAACUUUAUUCGUUAAUAUUUUGGUUUACUUGUUGCUUGUAAGGACUAUGAGGAUUAUAGGUUUUGUUGAUAUUGAUAUAUUUGAUAUACAUGAAGUGAAUUGAAUCGCUUCCUUUAUGCGUUCA
Medicago truncatula (barrel medic) is the source of this 743-nucleotide long non-coding RNA. RefSeq lists it as uncharacterized. NCBI's taxonomy places the organism in Eukaryota, Viridiplantae, Streptophyta, Magnoliopsida, Fabales, Fabaceae. The record is from RefSeq and is a predicted model, not a curated record. The transcript is spliced from 2 exons.